This 459-nucleotide ribosomal RNA is filed under the name uncultured bacterium. Its description in RNAcentral is "partial 16S ribosomal RNA". It matches the Rfam family "Bacterial small subunit ribosomal RNA", at positions 338 to 795 of the family's 1533-position model. The record is from RNAcentral.
CCUACGGGUGGCAGCAGUGAGGAAUAUUGGUCAAUGGGCGCGAGCCUGAACCAGCCAAGUCGCGUGAGGGAAGACGGCCCUAUGGGUUGUAAACCUCUUUUGUCGGGGAGCAAAGGACGCCACGCGUGGCGUUCCGCGAGUACCCGAUGAAUAAGCAUCGGCUAACUCCGUGCCAGCAGCCGCGGUAAUACGGAGGGUCCGGGCGUUAUCCAGUUUUAUUGGGUUUAAAGGGUGCGCAGGCGGAAGAUCAAGUCAGCGGUAAAAUUGAGGGGCUCAACCUCUUCUAGCAGUUGAAACUGGGUUUCUUGAGUGAGUGAGAAGCAGGCGGAAUGCGUGGUGUAGCGGUGAAAUGCAUAGAUAUCACGCAGAACCCCGAUUGCGAAGGCAGCAUACUGGCGCUCAACUGACGCUCAUGCACGAAAGUGCGGGUAUCGAACAGGAUUAGAUACCCGGGUAGUC